This is a long non-coding RNA of Lycium ferocissimum, 433 nucleotides long. RefSeq lists it as uncharacterized. The record is from RefSeq and is a predicted model, not a curated record. The transcript has 3 exons. NCBI's taxonomy places the organism in Eukaryota, Viridiplantae, Streptophyta, Magnoliopsida, Solanales, Solanaceae.
GAUGCACUAUCCUUUGCCAUAUGGAGAUCUUCAUUAUUGUCAUUGCCCUUUGAGCUCACUUCCUCUUCAUCAUCUUUUUGCACCACUAUCUUAUUGAUGUCACUCUUCUCUACUAUUGUCCUUUUUCCUGAGGGCUUGAUUGUUGUUCAUUCUGCUUCCCUUUGUCAUUUAUCAUUGGAAGUGCAGCUGCAUCAUCACUUGCUUUAUCUUCUAGCAUUGGAACUGCCACCUCCGCAUCAUCUUUUUCUGUAAUCUCUUCUUCUUCAAAGAACACCGUAAUAUCUGCAUCAACAAUUUCCUUAAUCCCUUCUUCGUCAGCCUUAUUUACAACAUCUGCAUCGUCAGCAUUGCCUAAGACAUCAAAGUUCUGGGUGUAAAGCUCUGCACUCUUUCUCAUCAUGACCCUAUAAUUUGCAGUGAUUGCAAUACUUAG